GUGGCAGUGGUGCAGGAGAGAGAGAGGCAGGCCUGAGGGGGAAGAAGCACCAGGAGGUCCAGAAGGACGACCCUACGUUUAGAGCGGCAGGGUCACGGGUGCCUGUGCCCCACCUCUGCUCCCCGACCCCGUUCAGCCAGGACACCCCGCCUUACCCCACGGCCGGCAGGAGGUCUGCUCCCUGCAGAUGCUGAAUCAGAAGAGACCAAGGCUUAGGGCCCCCGGGUCCCCCGAAGGUGCUUGAGAAUCUGCCGUUGAGUGACUGUACCCUGAACCAUGAGAUUCUCCUGCUCCUGGAACACUCCCUUCUGACGUGUUCUAGAACACUGGCCGCCCAGCAAGUCUUCUGCACCCCAGUCGAUAGCCAAGGGAAUUACAGGCGGGGGGCUGAUGCGCCUGAAAGAAAGUCUAUGAUGUUGGGGUCCCUCCAGUGAGGCCCACACAUCAACACGGCCCACCCAGACACCCACACUUCCAAUCAGCCUUCUGGAGUCUGAAUAGGGACGCAUAGCCAACGCUCCCCUAACAUCUGAGCGACACCCUCCACGCCAGGCAGGGGCCCAAAUAAGACAAAACCAACCAGAGCUGAGCAACAGCCAGCGGGAGUGGAAAAGCAGACAGCACAAGAAGCAGAGGACGGCGGAGAUGUGCCUGCCCUCACCGCAUGGACCGUGCACAGUCAGAGCAGGGUGCUGUAUAAGUAAAGGACACGGUGGCAGAAUUUUUAAAUGUCAGUAGAUUAGAAGAUAAAGAUAUUUUCCACAAAAACAAAGAAGACAAAACAUUAGAAAAUACGUGAAAAAGAUAAGAAAAUAAGAAGGUCAUUGUAGCAGUCUGAUAUCCGAAGGGAGAAUCAAGAACAUGGGGUGGUGGAAGGAGCUGAGUUUACAAUCCGAAAGGACCCUGCUACGGGUUGAAUUGUGUCCCCCCAGAUUUGUGUGUUGAAGACCUAACCCCAGGACCUCAGAAGGUGGCCUCAUCUGGAAACAGCUAAGAUGAGGGCGCACUGGAGCUGGGUGGGCCCCAAUGCAACAGGACUGGGGUCCUUAUAAAAAUGCGAAAUUUGAUCACAGACGGUUACAGAUGGAUAGUCCCACAUGAAAACUGGAAUUAUGCUGCCACAAGCCAAGGAACGCCAAGGAUGAUGGCAGCCACCCGAACGUAAGAGAGAGGCCUGAACAGACUCUCUGCCACAGCCCUCGGAAGGAGCUGUCCUGCUGACACCGUGGUUUUGGACUUCUGGCCUCCAGAACCGUGAGACGAUAAAUUUCUGUUGUUUAAGCUGCCAAGUUUGUGCAACUUGUUCCAGCAGCCCCAGGAAACGGAUGCAGGCCCUUUGAACACCCAGAUCCGUGAAUGAGAACGCUCCCUAGGAGGCAGACUGCCACAAAGCUUCGGACACCAGUGACAGAGGAGCUUCUAAGCAUCCAGAGAAAACACAGGUUGAACAAGCGACAAGAAGGAGAAAGUGAAACUCAAUGGGAGCCUUCCGAAUUCAGAGAGAAUGUGACUUCCCACCUGGAUUCCGAGUCAAAUCAUCAACUGAGUGUGAGGUUGGAAAGGUCAAGUCCUGCGGACUCGAGCUGCUCAGGCCGAUCCAGCUGGAGAGCUGGAGAUAGAUUGGACAGACCCCACGGUGGAGGAGCCUGGAAGAUGCAGCUGCAGAAAUCCAGAGGAGGAAGAGUGAUGCUUGUCGCGGCCCACUCUUCGAGGGUUGGGACCAUCGCACACAUCCCUCUGCCGGAGGUCACAUUCCUGGAGUACAGCCUUCCUACAACAGUCCUCUCCCAGUUCUGGCUUCCCCUUUGGGCUCAGGACUGGUAGCGGCCCCAGAGACUGCACCGUCCUUCCCUCUUGGCUUAAUGCCUGCCCAGCCCUGUGUUAAACUUUCCUUAAAUCACCCAGGUUGCACCAACUGUUUUCUGCGGGGACUCUGGCUAACCCGUCUCUAGCUCUGUGUGAGGUGAUGAGGAUCUCAACAUCAGAUGACUUUGCGCUCCGCGCCCCCUACUCCCACACACCACAGUGUCCAUGUCCAACACCUACACGUCUUUGUCCAUCCACCCCAGGGCACUGUCCCCAGUGAGGCCUGCCUUUCCAGUUGUCAUCCCUGGGGUUCCUCUGUCCUCGUCUCCCAUCUAGCCAGCCUGCCCGCUGUGGAGGAAUCCUGCUGCUCCCUGGCCCAGGUCUGAAAAGGCUCCGGGUCAGCAAGAUUUCUCCUGGAAAACAUAGACUCUGGUUCUGAGCCUCUUGGGCGAACACAUUUAACAAAGAAAGGAGCAGGGGCUGGCCCUGUGGCCAGGUGGUUAAGUUCACCCGCUCCACUUUGGCCGCCCAGGGUUUCACUGGUUUGGAUCCUGUGUGGGGACAUGGCACUGGUCAUCAGGCCAUGCCGAGGCAGCAUCCCACAUAGCACAACCAGAAGCACCUACAACUUGGAUAUAUAACUAUGUACUGGGGGCACUCUGGGGAGAAGAAGAAGAAGAAAAAGAAAAGAAGAUUGGCAACAGAUGUUAGCUCAGGUGAAGAAAAAAAGAAAGAAAGAAAGAAAGAAAGAAAGAAAGGGGAAAAGGAGGAAAGGAGCAAGGGCGGAAACGGGCAGAGGACAGUGGAGAUUAUCAGCUCAUGUUCCCUCGUCUUUCAUGUUCCCUCCUCUUUCGAGGGCUUCUUUGAGGCAACGUAAGGGAAAAGCCCUUUCAUGCCGUCUCUCCUGGAGCCCAGAGGAGAGAGCGCCCUCCUUUGCUCCUCAGCUGAGUGAACGAUCCACAACUCUGCUCUGUGGGUCUCUGCCUAAAUUAAGAGCGGUGCUUGUGAGAAGCAAAAGCCUGUGCGUGUGUGGGGUGCGGAGGAGGCAUCCCAGAGCCCCUGCUUGGCCCUGGUGCCCACUCUGCCCGAGGGCACUCGGGGAGGGGCUCAUUGCUGUCCGCAUGGGGAAGGAACCCCGAGCCCAGGGAUGCACAGCCCUCGCUGCCUCCCUUUCAGACCCAUGGCGCCGACGCUUGCGCACGUGUCUUUAAAGAAGCCGCUAUUGUCGGCUCUGCUGGGGGCAGAGGGUCGCGCCCUCCUGCCCAGGAGGUUUCCGGUCUAAGUAAAAGAGAC
This is a long non-coding RNA of Equus caballus (horse), 3099 nucleotides long. The record is from Ensembl. Lineage: Eukaryota; Metazoa; Chordata; Mammalia; Perissodactyla; Equidae.